GAUCUUGAAGCUAACCUAUUUAAGGUAUUUCCCUUUCAUCUUCAAUGUCGGAAUCCCCAAAUGGUUAUAGAAAAUAAAAAGGCACAAUCUUCUAUAUGUUAGGAAUGCAUGCCAUUUCAUUUUCUUUUAAUGGUUGUAGUGGGGUGAUUGUGUCGAAACUAAUUACUUUUGAGAAAAAAAUGGAUUUGCCUUAUAAAUCAUUAUUAUAAGAUUGUAUAUGUAGCUCAUGGAGCGGCGGGGGUAUGGGGAAGAGUACAUCAAUCGCUACAAGAUGAUGACAAGAUUUCAUCAUCAAAGAGUGCCAUUGGUAAUUCUUGUUUGUGGAACUGCAUGU
This 334-nucleotide unclassified non-coding RNA is filed under the name Hevea brasiliensis (rubber tree). The record is from RNAcentral. Lineage: Eukaryota; Viridiplantae; Streptophyta; Magnoliopsida; Malpighiales; Euphorbiaceae.